Molecule: long non-coding RNA, 1508 nt
Filed under: Chrysemys picta bellii (western painted turtle)
Lineage: Eukaryota; Metazoa; Chordata; Testudines; Emydidae
Description: lncRNA (ENSCPBG00000008489.1)
Source: RNAcentral
GGUUCUUUAACUGGCUACCAGCAUCUAUCGUCUGGGGAAUAGCCUCCCUCAGCCCACCAGGUGAGUAGGUAAACACAAGACUUAACAAGGAAAUAUCUUUCAAAACAAACAGGGUUUAUUUAGGGAACUCAACAAUACCAGGGAAUGCAAGGGGGAAAGGAAAACAAAAGCAGUAAAUAACUCAGUGGUUUGCCCCAACAGUGGGCCUGAAGCCUGGUCUCCAAACGACCCUUGGCAAUAACCAAAAGUUUGUACUUGCAGGUCCACAAUGAACCAAGGUCCCAACGGAUCCACUGGAUAAUGAUGGACGCACACAGCAACUGAUGGACGUAAGCAGUCAUCUGCAGCUGGGCUAGGUGGGUCCUGGACCUACCACUGCCUCCAGCGGUUGCCAGGGACAGGUGGAGCACAGGACCUUCAGCAGAUCAGAAGCACAGGAACAAAUGCCAUCCACUUAAAUCUGAGCUGAGAAAGAAGAAAAUUAAUCAACUCAAAUCAGACCUAUCUGCCCAGCAAUCUGUUUUCACUAGACAAGUGGUAAAGUCUAGAAGUGCUACUGCUGCUUCCUUUAAAAUUUCUCAUCUGCUCGCAAAGAAGAAAAAACCCUUUCAAGAUGGUGAAGUGUUGAAGGAAGCAUUUUUGACUGGUGCUGAUUGCCUGUUUCAAGGAUUUCCUAUCAAGGGUGAAUUUUUGUCGGCAAUACAAGACUUGCAGUUAUCAGACAACACAGUUCCGAGGAGGAUACAUGCAAUUUCAAGUGACAUGCAAACUCAGCUAAAGGAUGACUUGGAAAUAUGUGACUGGUUUUCACUGCAAUUCGAUGAAUCGACAGAUAUAUCGGAUACAGCGCAGUUGGCAGUUAUGGUGAGGAUGGUAUUUAGUGACUUCACCAUUAAAAGAAGAGUUACUAGAAGUAUUGCCUAUGAAAGGGCGAACAAAGGGUGAGGACAUCUAUAAUUUAUUCAAAUCAUAUGCAACAUUACUAUGCCACUACACAAGCUGUCUGCGAUCACCACUGAUGGGGCACCAGCAAUGAUGGCCAGUGCCAGUGGAUUCAUUGCACUCUGUAAGAAGAAUGAAUCCUUUCCGAACUUUAUGUCUUAUUGCAUUAUCCACCAAGAAGCUUUGUGCAUCGAAGUUCUGUCUUUUCAACACGUCAUGAAUGUCGUUAUUAAAAUAAUUAACUCUAUUCGAGCUAAACCUUUGCAACACCAACGUUUUAAGGCCCUGUUGGAAGAUGUUGAUGAUAAACAAUCUGAUCUUAUCUUGCACACAGAAGUAUGAUAGCUGAGCAAAGGUAAAGUUCUUGCACGUUUUUUAAGCCUAAUUGAAGAGAUCAAAGAACUUCUGAAGUCCACAAAUCAGAACUUCGAGCAACUGGAAGACUCCAGUGAUGUCGGCAAGAAAAGCCAAGUCCAUUAACCAGCUGACAAAUUGAACAUUUUAAAUCUUGAGCUCCAGGGAAAAGACAAACAUGUGGCUCAAAUGAUAGGUUCUGUAAAAUCAUU